CUCCUUUUCCAACCUUGAUGCUAAUCUCCGAGAGCCAAUAUCUCUUCAUUUCACCAUUCGAUUGAUCUCAAAAUUCUCAUACACAUAGAAAAACAAGUCUAAUAUCCUUUCACACAAAUUCCAUUCCAAUCCAAUUAGUAGAUUUCAAGAAAUAUUUAAAACCAUCACUAGACUUAAAAUUCUACUUUUUAAGACCUUGACCUGCUUAAACCUCAAUAAUCCUCAAAUCAACCGUUAGAUAGAGCUAAGAUUUACAACACACAUUAAGCACAACUAUG
This 278-nucleotide long non-coding RNA is filed under the name Physcomitrium patens. Its description in RNAcentral is "long non-coding RNA (PPAT_LNC014802)". Lineage: Eukaryota; Viridiplantae; Streptophyta; Bryopsida; Funariales; Funariaceae. The record is from RNAcentral.